This 797-nucleotide long non-coding RNA is filed under the name Brassica napus (rape). RNAcentral's name for it is "long non-coding RNA (BNAP_LNC007153)". The record is from RNAcentral. Lineage: Eukaryota; Viridiplantae; Streptophyta; Magnoliopsida; Brassicales; Brassicaceae.
UCUCUCAAUGGCUAACUCAAGGGUGUUUUUCUGAUUUGAAGUCCGGUAGGUGUUCAUCGGUUGUGGAGGCGAGUCUGCUGUGGUACUGGGAGGCUAGGAACGUCAAGCCUGGUGAAUCUGAAACUAUUAUUUAGCAUUGAGAUCGAUUUCCAGUCAAUUAGCAUUGGUUCUGUAUUUUUGUGUUUUGUCCCCCUUUUAUAUAUAAAGAUGGACUGUUAUUUAUUAAAGUAGGUGUUACGGUUGGCAUCAAGUGCCACACUGGAUUUACGAAGAUAUCAAAAUGGAUCAAAGCUGUCCUUCAUUGAGCUUCAGUUAAUUUAUUUGUUUAUAAUUUCCAUUCUUAUGCUUUUUGCGUUACUGUUGAUUUCUUAUAACUGGAUCUGGAUUGUUAUUGAUUUUGCAGAAUCUUCCAACUCUGUGCUAGAAGAUACAGUUUUGGAUGUUCUCAAAAUUCUUAUUUGGUAAGGAAUCCAACAAUCAAUAUGGUCUUUUUGAUUUCUAUGGGCUCUUCGUAUAUGUAGUUUCAUGAUGUCUUAAAGUAAAUAUUACUUUUUCUGUAUAGGUAAAAAACCAUCUGAUUCUCAUACAUUGCAAAGCCGGAAACGUAAUAUACUCCUUAUUGCUUUUCAUCUCUUGAGAACCAACAGAAGAAUUUGGAGAAGAAGAUUGUGACCGAGAUCUUACCGGCAAAGAAAUUCCACAAAGCUGAAGAAUACCAUCAGCAUUACCUCUCCAAAGGUGGGAAGAGUGGCCAUGCACAAUCCCCUUCAAAGAGCUGUAAGGACCCUAUCAGCUGC